RNAcentral lists this long non-coding RNA (253 nucleotides) under Linum usitatissimum (flax). RNAcentral describes it as "long non-coding RNA (LUSI_LNC006159)". The record is from RNAcentral. Lineage: Eukaryota; Viridiplantae; Streptophyta; Magnoliopsida; Malpighiales; Linaceae.
ACGGGUAAAGAAAAUAAUUAAUUGUUUAAAUAUGCAUAAAUGUAAUCCGCAAUUAAAACAAUAACCAUAAAAAAAUUUAUAUAUGUAAUGAAAACAUUGAAAUCAUGCAUCGAAUAUUUAUACAUACAAAUAACCAUACUCUAUAACCCCAUAAUCAAACAAAGUUAUAUAGUGUCUUGAUAUAACCGGUUAGAUUAAAUAAAAUUGUAAAAGUAAUUUCCUUGAACAUCAUUUUGUUGGAUUAUCAAAGACA